AGACCCGAAACCCGGUGAUCUAGCCAUGGGCAGGUUGAAGGUUGGGUAACACUAACUGGAGGACCGAACCGACUAAUGUUGAAAAAUUAGCGGAUGACCUGUGGCUGGGGGUGAAAGGCCAAUCAAACCGGGAGAUAGCUGGUUCUCCCCGAAAGCUAUUUAGGUAGCGCCUCGUGAAUUCAUCUCCGGGGGUAGAGCACUGUUUCGGCCAGGGGGCCAUCCCGGCUUACCAAUCCGAUGCAAACUGCGAAUACCGGAGAAUGUUAUCACGGGAGACACACGGCGGGUGCUAACGUCCGUCGUGAAGAGGGAAACAACCCAGACCGCCAGCUAAGGUCCCAAAGUCAUGGUUAAGUGGGAAACGAUGUGGGAAGGCCCAGACAGCCAGGAUGUUGGCUUAGAAGCAGCCAUCAUUUAAAGAAAGCGUAAUAGCUCACUGGUCGAGUCGGCCUGCGCGGAAGAUGUAACGGGGCUAAACCAUGCACCGAAGCUGCGGCAGCGACACUGAUGUGUUGUUGGGUAGGGGAGCGUUCUGUAAGCCGUUGAAGGUGGCCUGUGAGGGUUGCUGGAGGUAUCAGAAGUGCGAAUGCUGACAUAAGUAACGAUAAAGCGGGUGAAAAGCCCGCUCGCCGGAAGACCAAGGGUUCCUGUCCAACGUUAAUCGGGGCAGGGUGAGUCGACCCCUAAGGCGAGGCCGAAAGGCGUAGUCGAUGGGAAACGGGUUAAUAUUCCCGUACUUGGUGUUACUGCGAAGGGGGGACGGAGAAGGCUAUGUUGGCCGGGCGACGGUUGUCCCGGUUUAAGCGUGUAGGUGUGUGUUCCAGGUAAAUCCGGUUCACUUUAACACUGAGGCGUGAUGACGAGGCACCACGGUGCUGAAGCAACAAAUGCCCUGCUUCCAGGAAAAGCCUCUAAGCCUCAGGUAACAUCAAAUCGUACCCCAAACCGACACAGGUGGUCAGGUAGAGAAUACCAAGGCGCUUGAGAGAACUCGGGUGAAGGAACUAGGCAAAAUGGUGCCGUAACUUCGGG
RNAcentral lists this ribosomal RNA (1032 nucleotides) under Salmonella enterica. RNAcentral describes it as "partial 23S ribosomal RNA". It matches the Rfam family "Bacterial large subunit ribosomal RNA", at positions 711 to 1740 of the family's 2925-position model. The record is from RNAcentral. Lineage: Bacteria; Pseudomonadati; Pseudomonadota; Gammaproteobacteria; Enterobacterales; Enterobacteriaceae.